This 946-nucleotide ribosomal RNA is filed under the name uncultured Bacteroidota bacterium. RNAcentral's name for it is "bacterial SSU rRNA". It matches the Rfam family "Bacterial small subunit ribosomal RNA", at positions 395 to 1343 of the family's 1533-position model. Lineage: Bacteria; Pseudomonadati; Bacteroidota. The record is from RNAcentral.
UGCCGCGUGCAGGAAGACGGCCCUACGGGUUGUAAACUGCUUUUCCGGGGGACGAAUAGGGCCGACGUGUCGGCCGAUGCCGGUACCCCGGGAAUAAGGAUCGGCUAACUCCGUGCCAGCAGCCGCGGUAAUACGGAGGAUCCGAGCGUUAUCCGGAUUUACUGGGUUUAAAGGGUGCGUAGGCGGGCUCCUAAGUCGGCGGUGAAAGUCUGCGGCUCAACCGUAGGAUUGCCGUUGAUACUGGGGGCCUUGGAUACGGUCGAGGCGGGUGGAAUGCGCGGUGUAGCGGUGAAAUGCUUAGAUAUCGCGCAGAACGCCGAUUGCGAAGGCAGCUCGCCAGGCCGUGAUUGACGCUGAGGCACGACAGCGUGGGGAUCGAACAGGAUUAGAUACCCUGGUAGUCCACGCCGUAAACGAUGAUGGCUGGGUGUUGGCGGUACACGGUCAGCGCCUGAGCGAAAGCAUUAAGCCAUCCACCUGGGGAGUACGGCAGCAAGGUUGAAACUCAAAGGAAUUGACGGGGGCCCGCACAAGCGGAGGAACAUGUGGUUUAAUUCGAUGAUACGCGAGGAACCUUACCCGGGCUAGAACGCCGAACGAACGGCCCCGAAAGGGGUCGGCCAGCGAUGGCGGUCGGCGAGGUGCUGCAUGGUUGUCGUCAGCUCGUGCCGUGAGGUGUCGGGUUAAGUCCCAUAACGAGCGCAACCCCUACCGCCAGUUGCCAGCGGGCAAUGCCGGGGACUCUGGCGGAACUGCCGGCGUAAGCCGCGAGGAAGGCGGGGAUGACGUCAAAUCAGCACGGCCCUUACGUCCGGGGCUACACACGUGUUACAAUGGCCGGUACAGAGGGCAGCCACCCCGCGAGGGGGCGCUAAUCUCGAAAGCCGGUCCCAGUUCGGAUCGGGGUCUGCAACCCGACCCCGUGAAGUUGGAUUCGCUAGUAAUC